Molecule: ribosomal RNA, 870 nt
Filed under: uncultured bacterium
Lineage: Bacteria
Description: bacterial SSU rRNA
Rfam family: Bacterial small subunit ribosomal RNA
Source: RNAcentral
AGAGUUUGAUCCUGGCUCAGGAUAAACGCUGGCGGCGUGCCUAACACAUGCAAGUCGAACGCUCUUCGCGAGAAGAGAGUGGCGGACGGGUGAGGAACACGUGGGUGAUCUACCCUUAGGUGAGGAAUACCGGCGAGAAAUCGCCGACAAGACCGCAUAGCCUUCGCAAGAAGGAAAGUCGCAAGACGCCUGAGGAUGAGCCUGCGCCCGAUUAGCUAGUUGGUGGGGUAAAAGCUCACCAAGGCGACGAUCGGUAGCUGGUCUGAGAGGACGAUCAGCCACACUGGGAUUGAGAACGGCCCAGACUCCUACGGGGGGCAGCAGUGAGGAAUUUUCCGCAAUGGACGCAAGUCUGACGGAGCAACGCCGCGUGCAGGAAGACGGCCUUCGGGUUGUAAACUGCUUUUCUGUGGGAAGAGUAGGGACGGUACCACAGGAAGAAGCCCCGGCUAACUACGUGCCAGCAGCCGCGGUAAUACGUAGGAGACGAGCGUUGUCCGGAGUUACUGGGCGUAAAGGGUGCGCAGGCGGCCAGGCGCGUCGCUAGUGAAAUCUCCCGGCUCAACUGGGAGGGUGGUAGCGAGACGGCCUGGCUUGAGGCUCGGUGAGGGGCGUGGAAUUCCGGGUGGAGCGGUGAAAUGCGUAGAGAUCCGGAGGAACACCAACGGCGAAGGCAGCGCCCUAGACGAGACCUGACGCUCAGGCACGAAAGCUCGGGGAGCGAACAGGAUUAGAUACCCUGGUAGUCCGAGCCGUAAACGAUGUCCACCAGGUGUUGGGGGUAUCGACCCCUCCAGCGCCGCAGCCAACGUGAUGAGUGGACCGCCUGGGGAGUACGGCCGCAAGGUUAAAACUUAAAGGAAUUGACGG